RNAcentral lists this unclassified non-coding RNA (240 nucleotides) under soil metagenome. RNAcentral describes it as "partial contains 5.8S ribosomal RNA, internal transcribed spacer 2, and large subunit ribosomal RNA". The record is from RNAcentral.
AACGGUCUAUACCUGCGGUACCUGCGGAGGGAUCAUUAUAGAGUGGUAAACCCCCCGUAAAAGGGGGGGACCUCCUGUCCUUUGUAGGCUCUUUUUUAAAAGGGCUUUUUUUAAUUUUCUGCUUCGGUGGGGUUAUCCCACCGGAACAACCUCAAAACUCUUAUCAAAAAAUCGUUCUGUCUGAGAACCUUUUAUAAUAAAAAAAAACUUUCAGCAACGGAUCUCUAGAUCGGAAGAGCA